UUUACUGUACUUCAUAACUAGCUACCUGGAAGAUGGAUUUUCUUGGCUUGUGUCAUAAACAGAUAGUUAAGGGUUAAUGUCUCUUUUACCUGUAAAGGGUUAACAAGCUCCGUGAACCUGGCUGACACCUGACCAAAGGAUCAAUCAGGGGACAAGAUACUUUCAAAUCUUGGUGGAGGGAAGUCUUUGUUUGUGCUGUUCUUUGCUCUCUCUUGCAGCUAAGAGGGACCAGAUGUGCAACCAGGUUUCUCCAAUCUUUCUGAAACAGUCUCUCAUGUUCAAAAUAGCACAAGAAGAGCGUCCCUUUCCUCAUUAAUGAUGCCUAUGAAGAUUAAGCGGGCUCUUCAGGAACAACACAGUACAAAGGAUUGGUGAAUGGCUCUAUCACAUCUUGGAAAUGCUACAUGCAAGGGUGCUUGUCUCAUUGCAGGAAACUAAAAGGUAGAACAGGCUCAUCAGAAUAUUUUUCAUCUCUUUGCUGUUUGGACUCUUUCAAGGGCAGGAGCUAAGAAACGAACAAGCAGAGAUCUCCAGGGUUGUCCUGAGUUAAGCCCUGAAAAGACAUUCAGUGUUGACAUUACUACUUCUCUGUGAUCUUUUUGGAAACGUAGCCUGAACUCAUUUGUGCACAUAUGUUCCCUGCUUUAAUCUGUAAAUAACUCUCAUUUCUUUUUCUUAGUUAAUAAAUCCUUAAAUAGUUUAUUACAA
Long non-coding RNA from Gopherus flavomarginatus (Mexican gopher tortoise), 708 nucleotides. RefSeq lists it as uncharacterized. The record is from RefSeq and is a predicted model, not a curated record. The transcript is spliced from 2 exons. Lineage: Eukaryota; Metazoa; Chordata; Testudines; Testudinidae.